UCACUAUCAGCCACUAUAAGUCACUUUCAUCUCAUGCAAAAGCCCAAGUGUAGUCUGAGUCGCUUUUUGAGCAGUUGCUCAAAAUGAUUGCGUUUCUCCUCUUUUGUCUGGCAGGUGUUUGUGAGGGUCUUCGAGUUCAUCAGACUCCAUCUGAUAUUAUCAAACAACCUAAUGACAAACCUGGUGACAAAAUUCAGAUUUUCUGCACCCAUAAUAAAACCGACUACUGGGUGAUGCUCUGGUACCAGCAGCCACCUGGAGACACAGCUAUGAAACUCAUUGGGUAUUUAUACUCCAAAGAUGUCACAAUGGAAGAGCCAUAUAAAAAUAAUUUCGCCAUCUCUGGAGACCUGACGGGGAAUACAGCAAAGAAGAGUUCUCUCAUAAUUAAACUUGCGGGACAAGAGCAAAAUGCCGUUUACUACUGUGCUGCAAGAGAAGCACAAUGACAAAAAGGCUCUUUGAACCUUACAAAAACUGCACAAUGUGGAAUCAUCAGUGGUUUAAAAAACAGAAAGGGAAUAAACUGAUCACAUACACCUGUUUUGUGGUUGUACUGUGGUUUGAUGUAAUCAUGUUUCCAUUGGCUAACGUAUUUUGUGACUGUUUUUUAUGUUUGUUAUAAGGAAAUCUGUCCAAAAACAUCAUUUGUUGUGAAAUCUAAUAAAAGGAGAACUUAUAUAGAUAAAUCACAUGAAGCCACUCCUCCUCUGCCUACAUCACACUGGUUUCUUCGUGCAGUGACACCCAGCUCUGC
This is a non-coding RNA of Oreochromis aureus, 757 nucleotides long. The record is from the annotation of a RefSeq genome assembly. Lineage: Eukaryota; Metazoa; Chordata; Actinopteri; Cichliformes; Cichlidae.